AUUUUAUUAAUUGAUAUUACCUGUAAUAUAUUCAAGGAAAUUGAUUCAGUCAUCUCAGUUUUAACCCAAUAUUCUUCUUUCCUUACUCACAAUAGACAGCUCUAUUAUUCCAGUGCUUCUCUCAUAAUUCUUUUGCAAAUGUUUUUCUGUAUAGGAAGCUCCUGGUUCUCAGUCGUUUUGCCACGAAUGAAGCCCAACAUUUCUGAGUCAGUUACUCAGGAGUUAUCACCGGAGCCUAGUGAAGAAAGGAAAAGCUUUUAUGGAACUUUAUCACAGGAUAUAACUAGUCAAGGACACAGAAAGUGCUGCGGAGGCCACCAACAGAUGACAGGGUGAGUUUUGCUUAAUUGAAGUCUUAUGUUGAAUCUUUGGUGCUGUAGGCCUAUGAAAAU
RNAcentral lists this long non-coding RNA (392 nucleotides) under Coturnix japonica (Japanese quail). RNAcentral's name for it is "lncRNA (ENSCJPG00005020617.1)". Lineage: Eukaryota; Metazoa; Chordata; Aves; Galliformes; Phasianidae. The record is from RNAcentral.